GUUUGGCCAGGCCUGGCCUUGCUAGGCUUCUGCCUUCUCCUGAGGUCGGGCUUUGCGAUGGCAGGUUUUCCUCCUUGCAAUGUUUCCUUCCUCGCAAUCUUUCCUCCUUGGGAGGUUUUGCCUCUUGCAAGCUUUUCCUUCUUCGCAAAGUUUCCUUCCUUGCAACGUUUUUAAUCCUUACAACAUUUUUCCUACUUACAACAUUUUUCCUCCUUACAACUUUUUUCCUUCUUGCAACAUUUUUCCUCCUUGCAAAGUUUCCAUCCUUGCACAGUUUAUUCUCCUCACAAGAUUUCCCUCCUUGCAAAGUUUCCUAAUUGCAAGGUUUUCCUUCUUCAAGGUUUUUCCUCCAUGCAAGGAUUUUCUUCCUUGCAAAGUUUUCCUUCUCUCAGGACUUUUCCUCCUUGCAAGGUUUUCCUUCCUUGGAAGAUUUUCCUUCCUUGCAAGUUUUUCUUCCUUCAGGGUUUUCCUCCUUGCAAAGUUUCCCUCCUUGCAAGGUUUUUCCUCCUUCAAGGUUUUUCCUUCCUUGUAAGCUUUUCCUCCUUCAGGAUUUUCCUCCUCGCAAUAUUUUUCCUCCAUGCAAAGCUUUUUCCUCAGCUUUCUCACAACUUUUCCCUCCUUUUGCUUUCCCUCUCACUGCUGAGAUUUAGGAGCAAACAUUGUGGGGGGGGACACCCCCAAAAGCCACCAUCCCUCCUCGAGGACCCUUCCCUCUCCUUUGUUCCUCCACACCACCGUGUUUCGCAGCAAGGCUCAUUUUUAAUUUUCUUUUUUUUUUCUCUAUUUAAUUCUCCUGCCCCAUAAUCCCAUCGCCUUGUCACGCUUCCCCGGGAAGCGAAGCCGCUCCGAACAAAGCCCCCAGCGCAUCCCGCGCUCCCCGAGGGGGUUUGUGCAGCUGCGCCCGGGAGCGUGACCGAUCGGGAAUGAGCCUUCGGAUGCCGCUGGGACAGGGAGCUUUUCAUCCGCCCGUGGGAGCCGGCACCAGUUUGGGGUAUCUCAUCCUGGUCCCCAUCACCCCAGAAGGUUCCUCGCCAUGGUCCCAGUCACCUCAUGAUCAGCAGCCUCGGCCGAACCUUAUCGCAUCUGGUGAGCAGCGGGCCCCCGGCGCUCCCCCUGGCCGCCCUCCAAGCGCUGAACACGAAGCCACCAGCCGAGCUGCCGCAGCGCCUCACAGGGCCCAACAAACCCACGGGCCCUGGGGAAGGGGAAACUGAGGCACGGAAGGACUGAAGAGCUGCUGCGGGUUGCAUCUCCCUGGCCAACAAGCGCUGGAAAAUCCAUGACAGCUUCACUGGGCCCGUGACAAGGCACCGAAACAGCUUCUCAGCCCUCAAAGCAAAGCAUGAAAUAUAAAUUCCUGGGGGGAGUGAACCAGAAAACCCGUAUUCAGCUUAAUUAUCCCCCCCGGCCGCAAUCUGUGAUCUCCGGGACAAUUAAAAAGCUGCUUAAUCCCGCUUGAAAAGCAAACAAGGUCAGAGGCGGCGUCUUCCUGCUUCCCCCUCGCCCGCUGCCGGGGUCUCGCUCGAUAUAAAUAUGCAAUUAAAAAAUCGCCGCUAAUUGCUGCACCGGAGGGGGGUUCCCACCAUCAAAAAAAAACACAAGCUGUGGAAAGGGAUAUUAAAAGGGGAAAACAGGUAAAAAGAGAGUUUUUUACCCCAAUAAUUAAACUCUGGUGCAGGUUUAGGGAGAAAUUGCGAAGAUGUCUCAAUAUUCGCAUCUCUGGGGUGGGUUUUUUUUGGGGGAUGCUCUUUUUUGGGGGGGAAGGGGUUAAUCCCCGGCUCUCCUCUCUCGCUCCAGUGCUAACAACCCCUGGCAGCUCCUGGCUCGUUAGCCCGUUGGAAAAGCAAUUAAGAGAGGUUGGAAAAUGAGGGCGACAAGGCGGGAAGCCGGGAGGGGGCUCAGCCCCCAAAUCCUGGGGGGUGUAAGAGGUUUCAAGCCACACAUCUCAGCAGAGAUGUCGGAGCGGGAGUUCAGCUGGCUGAGCAAUGCUGCGCCAUCAGUAGGCUUCAGAGUGAACACCAUCAGUAGGUUUCAGAGUGAACAACAACAAAUAUAGUUUUAUUCCCCCCAGGGUUUUAUUGAACCUUUAAAAUCUGAAGCGUGCAGUUGGUCGCCUUUGCAGCAGAGGAGGAGGAGGACGAGGAGGAAGGUGUGGGGCUCAGGUGGGGGGCAGCCAGAGCUUCUGGGUGCUGACGAUGUCGCUGAGCUUGCCCUUGAUCUUCAGGAAAUGGCGCUUGAACUCCAGCCCGUCGCCCUGUGCAGGGGGAGGGGGCGAUGUGCCCUGUGCCUGCUGGCCUUGCACCGCUUUGCACGCACCUUACACGGGCUUGUAACCACCCCGCACCGCCACGCACCCCCUUGCACCACCUUCCAUUCUUGCAUCCACAUUGCACACACCUUGCAUGGUCUUGUAACCACCUUACACUCUUGCACCCACUUUGCACAGUCUUGUAACCACCUUGCACCACCUUGGACCACUUUGCAACCACCUUGCACGGCCUUGUAAUCACCUUGCACCCCCUUGAACUCUUGUACCUGCUUUGUACCACCUUGCACUCUUGCACCCCCUUGCACUGUCUUGCAAUUACUUUGCACAGUCUUUUAACCACCCUUGCACCACCUUGCAUCACUUUGUACCCCCUUACACUGUUUUGUAACCCCUGUGCACCCCUUUGCACACACCUUUCACCCCCCUGCAAACUCUGCACUACCUUGCACACACUUUGCAGUCCCUUGCACAUACUUUGCACACACUUUGCACCACCUUGUACAUACCUUGCACUGCUUUGUACCACUUUGCACAACCUUGCACCCCCUUGCACAGUUUCCACCGGCUUGUACCACCUUACAUCAACCUUGCAACGAACUUGCACACACUUUGCACUGCCAUGCACCCCCUUACAAACUCCUUGCACACACUUUGCACAAUCUUACACUACCCUGCACCCACUGUGCACUGCCUUGCAAACACCUUGCACCCCCUUGCACAUACUUUACACACACUUUGCACCGCUUCACACCACCUUGUACAUACCUUGCACUGCUUUGUACCACUUUGCACAACCUUGCACCCCCUUGUACCACCUUACAUCAACCUUGCAAACAACUUGCACAUACUUUGCACUGCCAUGCUCCCCCUUGCACACACUUUACACCCCCUUGCAACCACCUUGAACCGACCUUGUAACCACUGUGCACGCACUUUGCACCAACCUUGCAUCAUUUUGCACAGCCUUGCAGCCCCUUGCACGGUCUUGAAACCACUGCGCACCACUUGGCACCCACCUUGCACCCCCUUGCAGACACUUUGCACACUCUUGUAACCACUUUGCAACCACCUACACCCAGCUUGCACCACUUUGCACACCCUUGCACGCCCUCCGCUCACCUUGGAGAGGCGGAAAUCCAGCAGGACCCUGCUCUCCAUCUCCACCAGGUUCACCUUGAAGAUCAGCUUGUUGUUCCUCCGGUCCGUGGUCGACACAGUGACCUGCACGUCGCACCAAACCAGAGCAGCGCAGUGUGCAAAGGAUUGCAGCGUGCACAGGACCGCAACGGGCCCAGAAAGAACCGCAACGGGCCCAGAAAGAACCGCAACGGGCCCAGAAAGAACCGCAAAGGAUUGCAGCGUGCAAAGGAUUAGAA
Molecule: long non-coding RNA, 3645 nt
Organism: Columba livia (rock pigeon)
Lineage: Eukaryota; Metazoa; Chordata; Aves; Columbiformes; Columbidae
Exons: 6
Source: RefSeq, a predicted model, not a curated record